Molecule: ribosomal RNA, 492 nt
Filed under: uncultured bacterium
Lineage: Bacteria
Description: partial 16S ribosomal RNA
Rfam family: Bacterial small subunit ribosomal RNA
Source: RNAcentral
AGUGAACGCUGGCGGUAGGCCUAACACAUGCAAGUCGAACGGCAGCACAGUAAGAGCUUGCUCUUACGGGUGGCGAGUGGCGGACGGGUGAGGAGUACAUCUGAAUCUACUUUUUCGUGGGGGAUAACGUAGGGAAACUUACGCUAAUACCGCAUACGACCUACGGGUGAAAGCAGGGGAUCUUCGGACCUUGCGCGAUUGAAUGAGCCGAUGUCGGAUUAGCUAGUUGGCGGGGUAAAGGCCCACCAAGGCGACGAUCCGUAGCUGGUCUGAGAGGAUGAUCAGCCACACUGGAACUGAGACACGGUCCAGACUCCUACGGGAGGCAGCAGUGGGGAAUAUUGGACAAUGGGCGCAAGCCUGAUCCAGCCAUACCGCGUGGGUGAAGAAGGCCUUCGGGUUGUAAAGCCCUUUUGUUGGGAAAGAAAAGCAGCAGGUUAAUACCCCGCUGUUCUGACGGUACCCAAAGAAUAAGCACCGGCUAACUUCGUG